This 557-nucleotide ribosomal RNA is filed under the name uncultured bacterium. Its description in RNAcentral is "bacterial SSU rRNA". It matches the Rfam family "Bacterial small subunit ribosomal RNA", at positions 339 to 916 of the family's 1533-position model. The record is from RNAcentral.
CCUCGGGAGGCAGCAGUGGGGAAUCUUGCACAAUGGAGGAAACUCUGAUGCAGCGAUGCCGCGUGAGUGAAGAAGGCCUUUGGGUUGUAAAGCUCUUUCGUCGGGGAAGAAAAUGACUGUACCCGAAUAAGAAGGUCCGGCUAACUUCGUGCCAGCAGCCGCGGUAAUACGAAGGGACCUAGCGUAGUUCGGAAUUACUGGGCUUAAAGAGUUCGUAGGUGGUUGAAAAAGUUAGUGGUGAAAUCCCAGAGCUUAACUCUGGAACUGCCAUUAAAACUUUUCAGCUAGAGUAUGAUAGAGGAAAGCAGAAUUUCUAGUGUAGAGGUGAAAUUCGUAGAUAUUAGAAAGAAUACCAAUUGCGAAGGCAGCUUUCUGGAUCAUUACUGACACUGAGGAACGAAAGCAUGGGUAGCGAAGAGGAUUAGAUACCCUCGUAGUCCAUGCCGUAAACGAUGUGUGUUAGACGUUGGAAAUUUAUUUUCAGUGUCGCAGCGAAAGCGAUAAACACACCGCCUGGGGAGUACGACCGCAAGGUUAAAACUCAAAUGAAUUGACGG